Molecule: ribosomal RNA, 493 nt
Filed under: uncultured bacterium
Lineage: Bacteria
Description: partial 16S ribosomal RNA
Rfam family: Bacterial small subunit ribosomal RNA
Source: RNAcentral
AUUGAACGCUGGCGGCAUGCCUUACACAUGCAAGUCGAACGGUAACAGGUCUUCGGAUGCUGACGAGUGGCGAACGGGUGAGUAAUACAUCGGAACGUGCCCAAUCGUGGGGGAUAACGCAGCGAAAGCUGUGCUAAUACCGCAUAAGAUCUACGGAUGAAAGCGGGGGAUCGCAAGACCUCGCGCGAAUGGAGCGGCCGAUGGCAGAUUAGGUAGUUGGCGGGGUAAAAGCCCACCAAGCCGACGAUCUGUAGCUGGUCUGAGAGGACGACCAGCCACACUGGAACUGAGACACGGCCCAGACUCCUACGGGAGGCAGCAGUGGGGAAUUUUGGACAAUGGGCGAAAGCCUGAUGCAGCGACGCCGCGUGAAGGAUUAAGGUCCUCUGGAUUGUAAACUUCUUUUAUCUGGGACGAAAAAAGGCUAUUCUUAGUCACUUGACGGUACCAGAUGAAUAAGCACCGGCUAACUCCGUGCCAGCCGCCGCCGUAA